RNAcentral lists this ribosomal RNA (253 nucleotides) under uncultured bacterium. Its description in RNAcentral is "partial 16S ribosomal RNA". It matches the Rfam family "Bacterial small subunit ribosomal RNA", at positions 524 to 776 of the family's 1533-position model. The record is from RNAcentral.
UACGUAGGGGGCAAGCGUUGUCCGGAUUUAUUGGGCGUAAAGAGCGUGUAGGCGGCUAUACAGGUCCGUUGUGAAAACUCGAGGCUCAACCUCGAGACGCCGAUGGAAACCGUAUGGCUAGAGUCCGGAAGAGGAGAGCGGAAUUCCUGGUGUAGCGGUGAAAUGCGCAGAUAUCAGGAAGAACACCAGUGGCGAAGGCGGCUCACUGGUCCGGUACUGACGCUGAGGUGCGAAAGCGUGGGGAGCAAACAGG